AAACUUAGGAUAGAUAAACCAAAG
This 24-nucleotide transfer RNA is filed under the name Hapalopsittaca amazonina. RNAcentral's name for it is "partial tRNA-Trp". Lineage: Eukaryota; Metazoa; Chordata; Aves; Psittaciformes; Psittacidae. The record is from RNAcentral.